GAUCAUGGCUGAGGAUGAACGCUGGCGGCGUGCAUAACACAUUCAAGUCGAACGGACGACUCGGAGCUUGCUCCGGGAAGUUAGUGGCGGACGGGUGAGUAACGCGUGAGCAACCUGCCUGUGUGAGCGGAAUAACGUCCGGAAACAGACGCUAAUACCGCAUGACUCACGGACUUCGCAUGGAGACCGUGGCAAAGAUUUAUCGCACACAGAUGGGCUCGCGUCCGAUUAGG
RNAcentral lists this ribosomal RNA (233 nucleotides) under uncultured bacterium. RNAcentral describes it as "partial 16S ribosomal RNA". It matches the Rfam family "Bacterial small subunit ribosomal RNA", at positions 15 to 245 of the family's 1533-position model. The record is from RNAcentral.